This 837-nucleotide ribosomal RNA is filed under the name uncultured bacterium. RNAcentral's name for it is "bacterial SSU rRNA". It matches the Rfam family "Bacterial small subunit ribosomal RNA", at positions 602 to 1431 of the family's 1533-position model. The record is from RNAcentral.
CUNUGGCUUAACUGGGGGCUUGCGGUGGGUACGGNCCGGCUUGAGUGCGGUAGGGGAGACUGGAACUCCUGGUGUAGCGGUGGAAUGCGCAGAUAUCAGGAAGAACACCGGUGGCGAAGGCGGGUCUCUGGGCCGUUACUGACGCUGAGGAGCGAAAGCGUGGGGAGCGAACAGGAUUAGAUACCCUGGUAGUCCACGCCGUAAACGCUGGGCACUAGGUGUGGGGGGCCUUUUCCGGGUUUUCCGCGCCGUAGCUAACGCAUUAAGUGCCCCGCCUGGGGAGUACGGCCGCAAGGCUAAAACUCAAAGGAAUUGACGGGGGCCCGCACAAGCGGCGGAGCAUGCGGAUUAAUUCGAUGCAACGCGAAGAACCUUACCAAGGCUUGACACGUGCCGGUUUGCUCCGGAGACGGGGUUUCCUCCUUGUGGGGUCGGUUCACAGGUGGUGCAUGGUUGUCGUCAGCUCGUGUCGUGAGAUGUUGGGUUAAGUCCCGCAACGAGCGCAACCCUUGUCCCGUGUUGCCAGCACGUUGUGGUGGGGACUCGCGGGAGACUGCCGGGGUCAACUCGGAGGAAGGUGGGGAUGACGUCAAAUCAUCAUGCCCCUUAUGUCUUGGGCUUCACGCAUGCUACAAUGGCCGGUACAGAGGGCUGCGAUACCGUGAGGUGGAGCGAAUCCCUUAAAGCCGGUCUCAGUUCGGAUCGGUGUCUGCAACUCGACACCGUGAAGUUGGAGUCGCUAGUAAUCGCAGAUCAGCAACGCUGCGGUGAAUACGCUCUCGGGCCUUGUACACACCGCCCGUCACGUCAUGAAAGUCGGCAACACCCGAAGCCCGU